Molecule: long non-coding RNA, 1684 nt
Organism: Glossina fuscipes
Lineage: Eukaryota; Metazoa; Arthropoda; Insecta; Diptera; Glossinidae
Exons: 2
Source: RefSeq, a predicted model, not a curated record
UGUGCUGUGCGGUUAUUUGCGGAAGAUAAGUGAAGGUCUUUGUUGUAUAAGAAAAUUCUAGAAAUACAUCUGCAUGCAUGCAAGUACAAAUAUAUGAGCUUAGCUAAGUGCCAACGCAGCAGAAUUGAAAAGUAUUACGUAACCUUCUUAAUAUUUAAUGGCGAUGCAAAUUGAUUGGAAUUACAAAAUGGAUAACUUCAGGCAUUAAUGAAUAAUAAUAAUAGUAACAUGGGGGUCAAGGAGGUAAUUUUUCAUAUGAAAAAUUGCUUCAAGUCGACUCAUUAUACAUACGUGUAUGUCGUCAGCACAAGAUGGCGGCCCUCCUCGUUUGGUGACCCCUGGGCAACGUUAAUAAUAUUAUUAUUAACGGCAAAAAUGAGCGGCGUUGAGCGGUUAAGCACAACAACUUUUGUUAGAAAGGCGAGACUUCCCUAUCAGGAUUAAUGGUAUAAAGGCUGGCUGUCACUUAGCCCCUGUCUAAGAUGCAGUAUCGUGGAAUUCGAAGAUUUAUUCACUGGAUAUAACUCAUCUUCAAUUUAAACGCGUGCACGAUCAAAGAGCACCCCGCAGCGCCCGGGACAUAGGUUGGAUUUAAAAAUAAAAAUAAAUCUAGUGCUCGUACAUAUCGUGUUACGUGGAUGUUACGUGUGACGUUAUUCUAGCGUAAUCAGCCAAACCAUUUCAUUGUCUGUAUGCUCAUUGUGAAACGCAACGUCUAUUUGGCAGAGUUGCAAUGGGAAUAUCAGCAAGUAUUGCUGAACAUUGUAAUUACGCUAAAUAGUGCUGAAACCUAACGUCUCCGAGUGCUGUAAUGGCGCAUUGCAGUUGGUAGUCAUGCAGGUAUAAUAGACGUAUCUGUGAGGGUAGCAAAAUAAAUCUACGUUGUGAUUCAUUAUUAAUGAGGCCUUAACCGAGUAAACUUUGCAACUUAGUUGCCGAGAUUUUGUUUGAAUGCAGUUCCAAAUGGAAAAUUGCGAGCAUAUAACGGGCCUUCGAAGAGGGCCAAUGCUCGCACAAGCAAAAUUCAUACUAGAUGACUUAUCUGAGAUUAUCUAAUGUUCUGACGUGGAUUCCCCUUCAGAAAUUAGGAAGCGAUCUACAAAAUCGCCUUGAACUUAACGAAUGCUCCCGCUAUUCUAGCUUAAUUAUCCAAGUAUCGAGGAAAACUGUAACCCAUUUUUCUUUCUUGUGUACGUGCCUUUCCUAAUUGUUAACCAUAAUUGAUGUUUAACAGUUACGACGGCACACGUGGAACCUAUACAGGAAGGCAGAAAGCUCUGUCGAAAUUCAAACGACCUCUGUUAUCGGCCAAACGCUGAUGCUGCUUUGCUAUGCAGAGCAAACAAGGAAUCAUCUGAUAGCGAGUGCAAUUUUGCCCAAUAUCUUCAGGACAAAAGGUAUUGGCCAAACGUUGUAACAUCCCAUGCAGAUUGAAUCAAGUAUCCUCUGGUAGUGGAGCUAAUCAGUUGGAGUUUGCCCCAUAGCUUGGGUUGAUAAUAAUUUCGGCAGCCUUAGGUCACAUUCAGCGGUGCUUGCAUAUAUUAAGCAGGGAAUAUUUCGUAAUGCUGACCCAGACAUACAAAGCAAAAAACACUUCGUGACUACACGAUUUCACAAUUGUGAGGUUCGUGCCGAGAGUUUCGCAAUUGUGAAAAUAAAACAUAACAAGCAUUAGAAAAUCCAA